Molecule: long non-coding RNA, 4227 nt
Organism: Choloepus didactylus (southern two-toed sloth)
Lineage: Eukaryota; Metazoa; Chordata; Mammalia; Pilosa; Megalonychidae
Exons: 4
Source: RefSeq, a predicted model, not a curated record
UAGCAUUUAUCUACUGUGUGUUGAAAGUGGUGGGGGUAUGCGAUUAGGAAAUCUUUAAAUGAAGUUUGAAGGGGAGCUAUCUCGACAUUAUUCAAAAUUGAACAACUGGAUGCCCGGUAGUAUAGAGGUCUUGCCACAUCCCAUUACAACACACAUUGCAACACCCCUCUCUUCCUGAAAGUGUCUUUUCAGGGCCAUGCACCAGCCCCCUUGGAUCCUUCUGUGAAUGUCCAACUGGGAAUCAGUAGACCAUCUGUGUUCUCCGUCUCCCUCACCUGCAGCUAAGGGCAUGUCAUGGAGACAGAAGAACCACACUGAUGGGUUCUGCCUCAAACUCAUGGACUUUAAACUCAUCCUGCACAUGGAAUCUGGAGGCAUGAACUUUCCACAUUCUGUGAUGAUCCCAGGACCGCCUGGAGUUGUGGAAAGAACGCAGGCUUUGGGGUAAGCUGGAGUCAGAGCUCAGCCACGUAGUGACUCCCUGACUUCUGAGGAUUCAGACCCACAACUGAAAACCGUGCCGUGCCAGAGGACUGAUUGUGAGCCGCGGUUAUUGCUUCUGAGCAAAGCACGACGUUCAGACCCGGCUGUCGGGGGUGAGACGGAGAAUUGGCAGAGUUGGUCACUGCUAAAGAAAAUGUUUUCUUUGCUUGAUCAAUUUUAAAGCUUAUGCCAUGGGGAAAUUUAUAAUGAUUGGAAUUUGGAAGAUGUUAUAAAUACCAAUAAAUUUACCAUCCCUUUGGGAUUAUUCAGAAAGUAAUGAAUUAUACACACUCCUUUCCAAACUAGAAACCUCAGCAUAGGAUUGGAGCUACUGACACAGCAAGACGUAACUGUUGACUACUUGGUAUAAUUUUGCUGUGCAUUUCAAGGAUGGAUUUUCUUAAAAAAAAUUCCUGCCACCAAAUUAAAUCUUCAAGAGACAAUAAUAAAAGACUUUCAAAGGACCUGAGUUUACAAGGUUACUUCUGAGCCACGUGUUCAAGUCCUGUUUCAAUCCUCUGCCCAUGGUCAGAACUGUACUGCAGAAUAUGGAAAGCUAAAAAUUGUAUUUCCCGAUCUUCACUGCACCCAGGAUUACAGGUAGGGUUUAUGGUCCACCAUUCAGAUGCACCCAUGCUAGAUUUAAAUUUGGAAAUAAAAUUGGUGACAAGAGAGAACCAGCAUGGGAAAUCCAUUUUCUGGUGUGGUUUGUAGCAGAAGAUGCAUGUUUUGGAAACAGCAACUCCAGCAGUCAAAAUAAUGUUCUAAAGUCACUAGAAGUAGCUUUUUUCUUUGCUUGGCCAUGUUACCAUCCUGGUAUAUAAUGCAGUUUAUUCAUUUUAGAUUGUUUCAGGAAUUACCUUGUAAUUAAUAUGUAUUUUUUGAUAUGUAAACCUUUUAUGUUUCCAAGAUCAAAACUGGAAGUAGACGCAUUCAGAGAAGUCUAGUUUCCAUUCCCACGGGCUCCACCUUGUUUAUCCUUUUUUCUUUAUGUAAUAGAAUAUCUUUAUUAGUUUUUGUUUUAUAUUUCUGCCACCUCUUUUUGCAAAUAUGGUACAUUUUUAUCUGUAUUUCCCUUUAUUCUUUACACAAAAGGCAGAUGCCCUAUUAGCUGUUAUGCAUCUUGCCUUUUUUCUCUUUGUAUGUCCUUGAGCCUGUUUCACAUUAGAGAAAGGGGAUGGUCCCGUCCCCCUGGCUGUGUUGCCGCUGCAGUGGCUUCCAUGGGGAGCUGCGAUUCUUCAUUCAGUAAGCUGCUGGCUUCGGGGCUGAGUUGUACAUAUGUGAAUUCAUGUUAAGGAAGUAUGCAUCAAUUCUUCCUUAGUUGAAUAUUUGUAAAAUCAUAUUUUGUCAAGUGAAGACAGAAACCAAGAGAAUUUAAUAUGCAGAACUGUCAGUGUGCUGAGAAGUCAGCCGCUACCACCUCUCAGGCUGGGGGAGCAAAGGCAGAAGGGGGGGCCCCACAGACCUCAGACCUCUGAGAAAUGAGGGGGGGCGGCGAGUGCUUGGCUGGUGCUGGAGUCUCUGAGCUGCAGAGAUGUCUCUGGAGCAGAGAUGCCACCUCUGCGGAGGGGCCCAGGCCAGCUGGAGGAGUGAGCACUGGAAAAAUAGCAAACGGAAUUCAAAUGCUGCUAUUGGAAGAAACCACCAUGGCUGAGGUGAUGGAGCAAGGUUGGGAUGAUAAGGAGAAGACCAGGUUGCAAACAGGAAACUGACAGGAAGCAAAUGGGAAAGACCAGGUGUCCCUCUCCCCUCCCCAGUGUCACAGCCUCCCUCCAGCAGCCCCAACUGUCCGAGGCUAACAGGUAGCAGCUGACAAACCAGGGAUGUGGCUAACGAGUCCCAGCCCCAGUGCUGCAGAGCUGACAGAGAAGGGCGGACUGGAACCUAAGGCACGGCAGCUCAAUAACCGGCACAGCACCUGUAGAAAUGACGGGACUUUUCUUCUUGGAGAUAUGAAUAUCAUGAAUUAUAUUCAUGGCUUUUCUAAUACCAAUUUCAUGUUUCACUCCUGGAACGAAUCUCACUUGGUCACGAUGAAUUAUUUUCUUAAUAUAUUAUUUACUGAUAUUUCCUUUAAUAUUUAUGUUAAUAUUCAUAAGUGAUAUUGGGUUAUAGCUUUUUUAGGGCAAUAUUUAUUGGAUAUUGAUAUCAAUAUUAAAUUUGCUUCCUAAAAAGAAUUUGGAAGCUAUAGUUCCUUUCCCAUGUUCUGUGACAGUUUAAGUAGUCUUGGGGUUAUCUGAUCUUUAAAGGAUUGGUAAAGUGCCCUGGGAAACCACGGCCUGGUAUAUUUUUUGGAUAGAACUUUUUGCAAUUUUCUACAUAGCUCAUGAUGUAAUUGGUUUGCUUGGAUUUUCUAUCUCCUAAAAGAUUCAGAUUUGGAAAAUUAUAUUUUCCUAAAAAUUAUUUUGUACAGAUUGGCAAAUUUAUAAUCACUUUUAACUCAUUUGUGUCUUUCUCUAUAAAGUACGUUUCUUUGAGUCUUGCUUCUGUAUCCAUUUGACAAUUUCUGCCCACAGAUCAGGCUUUUUAAACAUUUACAUUUUAAUGUCAUUAUUGAUAUUGUUAGGUUUAAAUCUAUCAUUUUCUUGUUUGUUUUAUGUUUGUCUCAUCUUUUUGUCUUCCCUUUUGUCUUUUUCUGCCUUCUUUUGGAUUAAUUAAAUAUUUUAUCCCAUUUCAUGUUCUUUGUUGGCUUAUUAGCUAUGACUUUUUGUUGGGUUUUUUAAGUGGUUGCUUUAGAGUUUGUAUCACACAUCUGUAACAUAUCACAGUCUUCAUCUAAGUGAAUUAUAACAUGAAUUCUUUAAGAACCUUACAAAAGUAGACUUCCAUCUCUCCCCUCCUGGCCUUGUGCUAUUGUCAUACAUUUUACAUUUGCCUGUGUUAUGUAAGCCCUAUACUAUACUGCUAUUAUUUUUGUUCAAAGAGUCAAUAAUUUUUCAAAGGAUUUAAAAUAUAUAUAUAUUUACAAGGGUAAAAUUGUUCUGACCAGGGUUGGUGUUCUUUAUUCAUUUGGACAGAUCCACAUUUCCAUCUAGUAUCAUUUUCCUUCUAUUCACAUUCUUUCUUGUUUCCUGUGUUGCGAACCUAUUGAUGAUGAAUUAUUUCAACCCUUGUAAGUGUAAAAAGGUAUUUUGCUUUCAGUUUUGAAACAUAUUUAUGUUGGAUAUGCUGGUUUGUUCCUACCUACUUGCAGUUUGGGGUUUGUUUGCAAAUACUGUCUAGCUUUUGGUAGAUACUGCCUAUGGGUUUUUGGAUUUCAUAUUUUGGUUUCUGAGUCUAUAACUGUGGGGUUGGGGAUCUCAGAAAGAUUCAAAACCUAGGCAGCUGCUAGAAUCUUCCUUUUAGGUUUUGAAAAUCUUGGGUGUGAUGACAGAUUUUUCAUACAAUUAGGAUCUCACAGCCUUGCUGAGUGCUUUGUGAACACAUGGGACACUUUUUUUAUGCAUCCUAUAAGGAAAGUAGAAGGAAGCUCAUCGAGGGAGUGGAACAGAGCAGCUUACAGAGGGCACAUGCAGAAGCCGGUGAGGAAAUGUUCUGAUUGGCUGACAUUGAGUUUCCAUGUAUUUUGGGGGGUCAUACAGAGUGGGGAGCAGACAGACAUUGACCAGCAUGGAAAGACUGACCAUUCUGAUAAGCUCUCUCUACUGGGCCCAAACUAGUUUUAUCACCAGCUGUUGCUUAUUAGUGACCCUGUAGGGUGUGUUCCAUUUUCUCAGAAAACCCCUGCAUGUCAAUCGUUUUUGU